This is a long non-coding RNA of Serinus canaria (Common canary), 2000 nucleotides long. RefSeq lists it as uncharacterized. Lineage: Eukaryota; Metazoa; Chordata; Aves; Passeriformes; Fringillidae. The transcript has 3 exons. The record is from RefSeq and is a predicted model, not a curated record.
AGUUUAGAAACCCCUUUGGUUCCUGAGAAUACAAAAGAAGCCCAAAAGCAAGCAAGAUACCUUUAUUGUCCUUUUCAUAGCAGAUUAUUUGAUCCAGUUUCAGCCCAGGCCCUUGCCUCCUUUGGAGCCUCUACCAAACUACCCUGCUGUGGGGAAGGAGUCAGCUUCAUCCCUCACAUUCCCAAAGUUCACUGACAAAAAUAAUCAGCACCAGACAAAUGAGGAUAACAUCCACGUUGUUACUGGGAUAUGAAAGUCAACACAACCUGAUACAAAAUGGUGAUGAUAAUGAAAGACCAGGUGACAUUUCAGGCUGACAUUUCAGGCCAGCGUUUUAGUGAUGUUUAUGAAAAUGUUAGCUUAAGAAUCUGUUGAACAAGGAUUUUGCAGAAUUGGGCCUGAGUCUGGGACUGUUUAUAGUGGAUUUAACCAAGAAUAUCUCACCUUAGUUUCUAGAGUAAAUCAUCAAGAUGAGUUCCUAGACAGCCUUUCUCAGACUGUGUUUUACAGCUCUUUAGUGGUCAGAAAUGAGUCCCAAAAUCCACACUGCCUUAGACUUACUGGGAACAGCCCUGUCCUCCAACACUGGCCUCAGAAAUUUAAAUUAGUUCUCCUCCCUCUGCCCCAGCUGAGCAGAGCUGCUGCCAGGAAUGAAAAGUGCAGGUGCUGCAAGGGUUAUGAGAGUGGGAAGAAGGGAGAGGAAAAGGGAGUUGUGAUAAGAGACUGGAGCCCUGCCCUCCUAUUCAGGAAAUACUGCUGCAAAGAAAUGAAAAUACUUUAGUUUUUGCUGCAUUAGUGCAAGGAUUAAUUGAAAAUGUCCCAGGUACAACUGCUAUUACAUUGCAAAAAAGCAGAAUAACACUGGGACCUGAGAUCAGAAAUGAAAGAGAACAAUAUCUUGCAUCACCCUCUAUGCACUCAGCCACUGAACCACCAUGGAACAAACCUGGCUGCCCUGAUUCAGCUACAGGAAAAUUUUGACCAUGUGGUUUAACCCCAAAUAAGCAGCACAAAGCUGCCCACUGAUUCUCCUCCCAGCAGGAUGAAGGAAAGAAUUGGGAGGGUAAAAGUGAGAAAACCUGUGGGUUGAGAUGAGAACAUUUUAAUAAUUGAAAUAAAAUAUUGUAAGAAUUAAUAAUAAAAAUAAAAAUUGCAUGUAAAAAGAAUUUUUUUUAUUAAAGGGAGAGAAAUUAAACCCAACAAGUGAUGCACAGUGCCAUUGUUCAUGACCAAUGGGCUUAUUUUCAGAAUCAGAGCUCAGGAAAAUGCUGAGGAUAACUAUAAAGAGACUAUAUGAAUAAUCUUUUAUAGUCAGCUGUAUUUUUCUUUUUUUUUCCCCACAGUAUUUCCAAAGUGACUCUCUGUAGGUUCCAGAUAGCUAAGUCUGAAGAGAAAGCACUCCCAAUGUCACCCCCACCCUCUCUAGUCUACUUUUAUUACAAUUGAAGUAUAAAUCACACAAGUUAAUCUUCCACAAAAGCCACUAUUGUUUUACAUUUACUUCUAUUUUUUAUUCUGAAAUUGCAGAGAUUUUGUUUUCUCAUUUAUCAUCAGAGAUGUUGUUGAAAUGUGGGAAGUGACAGAACAGGGUGAAUGUAGGAAGGAGCAAAACCCCAAUCUUUUGGCUGGCUCAUAUUAGUCACUACAAUCUGGUAUUUUUCCUGCAACACAUACAUGGAAGAGAGGGCACAAUUUCCCAAAGUGUUAAAUAUCCUGCUCCAUGCUGCAUACAAAAUAUUUGUUGGCAAUUGUGGUGAAAGAAAUGAUAGCCAUGGAGAGGUGCCAUUGGAUAAUUGCAAUCAUUUAUAUUACCAUGGUAUAAAUACAGUGUUUCAACCUUCAAUUUUAAAAUAAUUUAAAUUAGAAUAUGAAAAUAUUUCAAUUACAAAUUGAGUUAAAAAAACCCUCAAAACCAAUAAAUGGAAACUUCAAUUUUGUUUUUGAGAAAAAAAUAUUUAUGGAGGGAAUCCUUCCAAAGGAUUGUUCCCAUAGUUUUUGGA